UGUCGACCGACGAGUCAGUUUAACGUCGAAGAGUGUCUGGGUGGAGCGAGAGGAGUCGCCCCCGAGCCGCUUCCGCGUUGUCUCGUAUUUUUAAUGGACAAGGAUGGAGGCUCCAGAUGGUCGAGUACCGGCAGCAGAAGGGGGACCCUCGGGGGGCACAAAGGCCUGACAGCGGGGAGCCAAAUAUGACCUGAGUCAGACAGCUCUUUAGCACAAAAUUAGCCUGGGAUGAACGCGUAACACAAUUACAUGCUGUUAAUACCAUCAAAGAGGCAUUUGUGGCGCCUGUUGUGGCCUUUGCAGCUUAACUGGCCUAAUUUGGAAAAAAUGUCACAGUCCUUUCAGAAAAGGUGACGGUUAAACAUUUCUCAGAGGUCAAGCUGCUGUAACUUUUUCUCCAUGAUUAUUGCCUACAUCAAACAAUUCUGCACAAAACAGCUACGAGGAUAUAGUCUGUAUAUCCUCCAGUACGACUUCCAGGAGCAAAAGAUGGACAUUGAAACGUCUGCAGUGAAUGUUAGCGUCUCAGAUCAUGUCGGAGGCUGCAGUUUCACUGACACACUAAUGUUCAUCUUCUCCGUGGUUGGGUGUGGACGUUGAGCCUUAAACUGCAGUUCAAGGCUGGAAUACAAAGCUUCUCAAAGGGAUACCAUCACACCGGAACAAACAUUUGGGUUGCAGGGCCUCAAGCAAAAAAUGUUUGAACUUUUUGGAGUAACUCUUCUCUUUUAUGUCUCUAAUAUUAGUACAUUUCAUUUGAAUUGGCAGGAACAAUAUGUUUGGUGAAUAGAACUGAAUGUAACACAAGGACUGGGUAACAUUCUGGUCAGAUAAGCAUUUGAAAUAAUCCCAAAUGGGGGAAGAUACUUGCAUCCAACUUGCAAAUUGCAUGCAUGCAUGAAAAAUAUUAUCAUAUUAGCUGUGUCCAAAGAGGCCAAAUGCCACAUUUGGAUGCUCUUGAGGUAUACUGUAACAGAAUGAUGACUUGUGGUCCAAAUACCUUACAUCAGAUGAAGCUGAAAGUUCA
This is a long non-coding RNA of Dicentrarchus labrax (European seabass), 1027 nucleotides long. RefSeq lists it as uncharacterized. Lineage: Eukaryota; Metazoa; Chordata; Actinopteri; Moronidae. The transcript is spliced from 3 exons. The record is from RefSeq and is a predicted model, not a curated record.